This 72-nucleotide transfer RNA is filed under the name Candidatus Peribacteria bacterium. Its description in RNAcentral is "tRNA-Arg". It matches the Rfam family "tRNA". Rfam says of the family: Transfer RNA (tRNA) molecules are approximately 80 nucleotides in length. The record is from RNAcentral. Lineage: Bacteria; Candidatus Peregrinibacteriota; Candidatus Peribacteria.
GCUCCUAUAGUUCAAUGGAUAGAACAGUAGCCUUCUAAGCUACGGAUCCAGGUUCGAUCCCUGGUGGGGGUA